This 406-nucleotide ribosomal RNA is filed under the name uncultured bacterium. RNAcentral describes it as "partial 16S ribosomal RNA". It matches the Rfam family "Bacterial small subunit ribosomal RNA", at positions 30 to 526 of the family's 1533-position model. The record is from RNAcentral.
AUUGAACGCUGGCGGCAGGCCUAACACAUGCAAGUCGAACGAGGGGCGGACGGGUGAGUAAGGUCUGGGAAACUGCCUGAUGGAGGGGGCUAACUACUGGAAUCGUUAGCUAAUUCCGCACACCAUCAGAUGUGCCCAGAUGGGAUUAGCUAGUUGGUGGGGUAAUGGCUUCCCAAGGCGACGAUCCCUAGCUGGUCUGAGAGGAUGACCAGCCACACUGGAACUGAGACACGGUCCAGACUCCGACGGGAGGGAGCAGUGGGGAAUAUUGCACAAUGGGCGCAAGCCUGAUGCAGCCAUGCCGCGUGUAUGAAGAAGGCCUUCGGGUUGUAAAGUACUUUCAGCGGGGAGGCGUUACCCGCAGAAGAAGCACCGGCUAACUCCGUGCCAGCCGCCGCGGUAAUAC